CAGUGUCUAGAUUAGUUCUGCAAAGAAAUAAGGCUUUGCUCUGCAUGGCAUCAACUGAGCUUUUAAAGAUCACACAUGAGCAAGGGUUUAAAAAAAAAGUUAGAAAAAUCAAAAACAAAGCUUUAUAGCCACUUCAGAAAGCCUGGAUGUUUAACCUGCAAGGAAGUCUGUCAAAUCCUUGUGGAAAGUAUAUAGAGAAAAGAUCAAUAGGAUACCUACUGGCUCCAUUAGCUUGAUGUAAAAGGGGAGAGGAGAACUGCUCUUCCACAAGAGAAACUCCAUUAUUCCAGGGAUUAUGCGGGGAUCAGUUCAUUUUGCAGACAAGAAGAAGAGAAAAUGAAUGAAGAUUCUUGGUGGGCCAAGACUGGAGAGAAAGGGCUUGUCAGGUAAUAUCACUGGUGAUAACAAAGUGGCUUAUUGACUGGGAGGUGUCUCUAAUUAGAUGUUCAUUUGCAUAGGGGAAAUGCCAGUUGUAGUCUGGAGUGAGGCACCAGGGAGAGAGAUUCAGAGAAACUGCUGUCACUCAAAUAUGCUGCAAGCUCAGUCUAACAGAAUUAGGAAGCCUUGUCCUUUCUGAAGGCUUGACUGCUCCUGCCUGUGACCAUGAAGACAUACUGUCCUGGAGUGCAGUGCCCUCGGCUUGAAGGCUUGUAGCUACCAACUCCAGAGAACAUUAAAAACAAGCUUCAUGUGGUAAAAAUAUAGGAGGGUCUUGUGGACUCAGACUGUGGACGGCUGAGAGGCUCAGCGCAGCAAACGCCAGCCCAGACAUGCCGCCCGGGAAGCUGGCAAGGUGCCUUGUGUGCAGCGAGACGCAGCUGAAGUGGAAAGCGCGCGCUGGGGCUCGGAGACCUGAAGUGAAA
Jaculus jaculus (lesser Egyptian jerboa) is the source of this 863-nucleotide long non-coding RNA. RefSeq lists it as uncharacterized. The record is from RefSeq and is a predicted model, not a curated record. Lineage: Eukaryota; Metazoa; Chordata; Mammalia; Rodentia; Dipodidae. The transcript is spliced from 3 exons.